UACGGAAGGCAGCAGUGGGGAAUAUUGCACAAUGGGCGCAAGCCUGAUGCAGCCAUGCCGCGUGUAUGAAGAAGGCCUUCGGGUUGUAAAGUACUUUCAGCGGGGAGGAAGGCGAUGCGGUUAAUAACCGCGUCGAUUGACGUUACCCGCAGAAGAAGCACCGGCUAACUCCGUGCCAGCAGCCGCGGUAAUACGGAGGGUGCAAGCGUUAAUCGGAAUUACUGGGCGUAAAGCGCACGCAGGCGGUCUGUUAAGUCAGAUGUGAAAUCCCCGGGCUUAACCUGGGAACUGCAUUUUGAAACUGGCAGGCUUGAGUCUUGUAGAGGGGGUAGAAUUCCAGGUGUAGCGGUGAAAUGCGUAGAGAUCUGGAGGGAAUACCGGUGGCGAAGGGCGGCCCCUGGGACAAAGACUGACGCUCAGGUGCGAAAGCGUGGGGAGCAAACAGGAUUAGAUACC
RNAcentral lists this ribosomal RNA (456 nucleotides) under uncultured bacterium. RNAcentral describes it as "bacterial SSU rRNA". It matches the Rfam family "Bacterial small subunit ribosomal RNA", at positions 340 to 786 of the family's 1533-position model. The record is from RNAcentral.